AUUGAACGCUGGCGGCAUGCUUUACACAUGCAAGUCGAACGGUAACAGGGUGCUUGCACCGCUGACGAGUGGCGAACGGGUGAGUAAUGCGUCGGAACGUGCCGAGUAGUGGGGGAUAACGCAGCGAAAGUUGUGCUAAUACCGCAUACGUACUGAGGUAGAAAGUGGGGGACCUUCGGGCCUCACGCUAUUCGAGCGGCCGACGUCUGAUUAGCUAGUAGGUGAGGUAAAGGCUCACCUAGGCGACGAUCAGUAGUGGGUCAGAGAGGAGGGUCCGCCGCACUGGCACUGGGACACGGCCCAGAGUCAUACGGGAGGCAGCAGUGGGGAAUUGUAGACAAUGGGCGAAAUCCUGAUUCAGCCAUGCCGCGUGUCUGAAGAAGGCCUUCGGGUUGUAAAGGACUUUUGUCAGGGAGGAAAUCCCUAGUGCUAAUAACACUGGGGGAUGACAGUACCUGAAGAAUAAGCACCGGCUAACUACGUGCCAGCAGCCGCCGUAA
This 500-nucleotide ribosomal RNA is filed under the name uncultured bacterium. Its description in RNAcentral is "partial 16S ribosomal RNA". It matches the Rfam family "Bacterial small subunit ribosomal RNA", at positions 30 to 523 of the family's 1533-position model. The record is from RNAcentral.